GACGAACGCUGGCGGCGUGCUUAACACAUGCCAGUCGAACGGAAAGGCCCUGCUUUUGUGGGGUGCUCGAGUGGCGAACGGGUGAGUAACACGUGAGUAACCUGCCCUUGACUUUGGGAUAACUUCAGGAAACUGGGGCUAAUACCGGAUAGGAGCUCCUGCUGCAUGGUGGGGGUUGGAAAGUUUCGGCGGUUGGGGAUGGACUCGCGGCUUAUCAGCUUGUUGGUGGGGUAGUGGCUUACCAAGGCUUUGCCGGGUAGCCGGCCUGGGAGGGUGACCGGCCACAUUGGGACUGAGAUACGGCCCAGCCUCCUACGGGAGGCAGCAGUGGGGAAUAUUGCACAAUGGGCGGAAGCCUGAUGCAGCAACGCCGCGUGCGGGAUGACGGCCUUCGGGUUGUAAACCGCUUUCGCCUGUGACGAAGCGUGAGUGACGGUAAUGGGUAAAGAAGCACCGGCUAACUACGUG
This 468-nucleotide ribosomal RNA is filed under the name uncultured bacterium. RNAcentral describes it as "partial 16S ribosomal RNA". It matches the Rfam family "Bacterial small subunit ribosomal RNA", at positions 28 to 507 of the family's 1533-position model. The record is from RNAcentral.